This 379-nucleotide ribosomal RNA is filed under the name uncultured eukaryote. RNAcentral describes it as "partial 18S ribosomal RNA". It matches the Rfam family "Eukaryotic small subunit ribosomal RNA", at positions 592 to 976 of the family's 1831-position model. The record is from RNAcentral.
CAAUAGCGUAUAUUAAAGUUGUUGCAGUUAAAAAGCUCGUAGUUGGAUUUGUGGCGUACGGUGUGUUCCGGGCACUUGUUGCCUGAGUAACCUGCUGUUGCCAUCCUUGGGUGGAACCUGUGUGGCAUAGGUUGUCGUGCAGGGGAUGCCCAUCAUUUACUGUGAAAAAAUUAGAGUGUUCAAAGCAGGCUUAUGCCGUUGAAUAUAUUAGCAUGGAAUAAUGAGAUAGGACUUUUUUGCUAUUUUGUUGGUUUGCGCAAAGAGGUAAUGAUUAAUAGGGACAGUUGGGGGUAUUCGUAUUCCAUUGUCAGAGGUGAAAUUCUUGGAUUUUUGGAAGACGAACUACUGCGAAAGCAUUUACCAAGGAUGUUUUCAUUAA